RNAcentral lists this RNase P RNA (213 nucleotides) under Streptomyces harenosi. RNAcentral's name for it is "partial RNase P RNA component class A". It matches the Rfam family "Bacterial RNase P class A", at positions 1 to 213 of the family's 367-position model. Rfam says of the family: Ribonuclease P (RNase P) is a ubiquitous endoribonuclease, found in archaea, bacteria and eukarya as well as chloroplasts and mitochondria. Its best characterised activity is the generation of mature 5'-ends of tRNAs by cleaving the 5'-leader elements of precursor-tRNAs. Lineage: Bacteria; Bacillati; Actinomycetota; Actinomycetes; Kitasatosporales; Streptomycetaceae. The record is from RNAcentral.
GGAGCCGGCCAGACAGUCGCGUCAUCCCUUCGGGGGUGCCGAGGAAAGUCCGGGCUCCAUAGGGCAAGGUGCCAGGUAACGCCUGGGCGGCGCAAGCCGACGGAAAGUGCAACAGAAAGAUACCGCCUACGUCUUCUUCGGAAGGCCGGUAAGGGUGAAAUGGUGCGGUAAGAGCGCACCGCGAGUCUGGCAACAGACCGGCACGGCAAACCC